UACCUCCUUGGUCAGUUGUAUUCCCAGGGAUUUGAUUUUUUGGGGUGCAAUUUUAAAAGGUAUUGUAUUUUAGUAUUCCUUUAAAAAAUUUUAAAAAAAAUUAAAAAAAAGAAAAGAAAUGAAGGCCCCAGGAGUUUGGAUAUGGAAGCUUUCAUGAGGUGUUAGCCUUUCUUAAAAACUGGAAAUGAUGUAAUCAAAAGGUGAAUUAACGUGAGGUGCUAAGGAAGACAGAGUCUGGAGGUGAGGAGACUCUAGGUCAGUGGGGGCCAAAAUACCCCAAGAGGGAAUAUAGUGAUUACAAUCAAAGCACUCUCUUUUGUGAGUUGGUGGCUUCAGUUUCUGUUUUAGAUUCUUUUGUACUGAUCCAUAGUGAUGCUCAAAUGAAACAUGUGACUUGGUGCACAGGACAAUUCUCUGAAGCAUGUCCUCUUUUGUGAAUGUAUUAUGCUUCUUCAGAGAGCCUUUUAUAACUCCUCCACAUUCCAUCAAUUGCUUCCUUUUAAAAAAUCCUGUAAUGCAGCUGGAAGAAAAAUGUAAUUGAGUAUUUAAACAGUCUUUGCUUAAUAGUCACUAAUUGUUUCACAUAUGCAACCUUUGUUUUUCUAGAAUAUUGGUAAGGAGGGCUCUCUCGUUGCUUUUUUUUUUUUUUCUCUUAUGAGAAACCUAGCACAAUUCCAGUCGAAACAUGUGACCCAAACAUUCCUGUUUUGUUAUUUAUUUUUUUUCAAUCGAUUAUCUGCAGAAUUCUGUGCAUUGCCUGGAAACAUUUAAUAAGUGUGUGACAUUGUAAUCAGAAAAUAGUAGUUUGGAAAUUUGUAGACUAAAAGUUCCAGUCCUCAGUGCAUGACCAGAUAAGUGAUAACUAGGUUAUUUAUUUGUAAAAUAAAACCAUCAUCAAGUUAUGUGGUCAAAGUUGCUCAUGUAUGGAACAGAACUAAUUCAGAUAAAUUAGAUAGACUGAAAUGAGAGGAAACCAGGCAUUGCUUCUGAUCCCACUUUGAUUAACAUUGUAUAAUGUAAUCUACACAGCAAUUUGAUUACAUGAAAAAUAUAUUGUAAAUCAAAAGGAUUUUCCUAAAUAUUCCCAAUAUGUGGGAUUUAUUUUGAAGAGUUUAUACAUGUUCAUAUUCAUUUUUCCAGAAAGCCAGUGAAAGAGUGAGCCAUGAAACAGUCCGGUAGAGUAUGAAAAACUAAAUCUGCACUGUCUUCUAGUCUGUAAUUUAAUACUUCAUAACAUUAUACUUUUAGUGUUUUAGUAAUAUAAGCUAAUUAGAACUAUCUGGGGAGUGUUACUAUAUAGAGUUAAGGUCUGACCCUAUAAUUCAUGGAAUGUUUUUUCUAGUAAUGUCCUCAAAUUUAUUUCAGUGGCAGCUCUUACAUAGAGUAAUCCUGGACUCGUAGAAGUCAUUGCAUUACACUUUAAAACAAGUAUUCGCUAUGAAGCAUAAAAAUUUUUCCUUAUAUUUAAAAUGGUAAAUAAUAGAAUAAUAAACUAAAGGUGAUGAAGCCCCUUUUCUUCUUUUUUGGUAGAGAGGCAGUGGUGAACUGUGCCCAGCAUUCCCUAAAAGAACGAUUAUUCUUAGUCAUAUCAUGAUUUAAAAAAAAAAUGUAAACUCUGUAACUUACCUGUUCACUCUUGCACUCUCCUCUUUUUCUUCAGAUGUAGUAAUAAUGCAGCAGUGGAGGAUUGCUUUCGUUCUUGCUUAAGUUUUACAUUUAUUUUCUUCAUGAAAAUAAUAAAUUUUGAAUUAAGCUUGAACUCUGAUAGGGUUAUUUGAAAUGGCCUGAGGAUUUUAGAAGGGUGCUCUUUUUUUAUUAACAAGGUUGAUGAUGAUGAUAGGAUCUUUUGGUGUUAUCAAAGUUAAAAUUAAAUAGUCAUUUGAAUCUUUUUCCACGUCAAGAAUAGCAUGUUUUUAUGCUUUUAUAUUCUUUCAUUACCUGUGAUUAUAUAUUGAUAAGGGAGUCAUAUGUAUUUUGCAUUUCUUUCAUUAGGAUUUAUAUAUAUAUUUCUAAAUUUCUGAGGUCGAUAUGUAUAUCUGAAUGUAGUAUACAUAUAGAUUGCAUUAAUGUUCAUAAUAUAAUUGCUGGGACACAGGGUAAGUAUAUAUUUAAUAUUUUAAGACUUCCAAUUUUUCAAAAUGUUCUAACAUUUAUACUCCUAAGCAAAAUAGGAGAUUUCCAGCAGCUGUGUAUGUUGUCAGUCUUUCUAACUUCAGCAUUUGUAACAUAUGUGCAGGUGAAUUUCAGCGGAGUUUUAAUUAGCAUUUUCAGAACGUAUUUUUAUGGAAGAAUGACUAGGAUUUCUUUAUAAUUUGGGUGUAGUUAUGAGAGAAAGAGUGGAGAUAAAUAGGACUUUAAGAAUUUGGGUCCUGAUUGACUGAAAGUUGUAUUGUCCAUUAACUGAGAUGGGAAAGACUGAACUAGGAGAAGGUGGGGGGAAGGGAAAGGAUAUCAAAAAUUGAGUAUGACAUCCAUUGUCCAAUUAGAUAAGUUCAAGUAGAGAUGUCAGGAAGGAAGUUUGCUCUGAGAAUGUGAUUUCAGGGGAGAUGUCUUUUGGGAGUCAUGAUGAUACUUAAAGCCAUGAGAUUGGUGGCUUAUUGAAGGUGUGAGUGUAGGUGGAAAAGAGAUUAAUUCUAAGUUCUAAGCUGGAGUCUUUCACAGUUUGAUCCAGUAAGGCAAACCAGGAAAGACUUUGAGAUGAACUAGUUAGAGAGGAAGGAGGAAAUGUCCGAGGGUGUGGCACACCUAAACCCAAGAAAGGAGAAUUUUCAACAGAGAAGCAGUGAUGAACUGUGCCCAGCAUUGCCUAAAAGAAACUAUUGCAGCUCAGAUAUUAGGGGGAAUGGGAGGUGGUGGGCAGAGAGUGAGACACUUGAAACUAGUAUUGCUAUAAGGUUUCCAGUUAUUAGUAAUGGGGAAUGAGGAAGAUCAUUGAGACCAUGGCUGUAUUAGGAUGAAGGUCAAGAUCACAAGAAGAAGGGAGUUUAAGAGACAGAGAGGCCAUUGUGUUUGAAAGCACACUGGAACAAUGAUACAGAGUUUGGAUAAGUUACAUACAUCAAGCUAAAAUAGUUGGCUAAAUCUAUUACCCUGUCAAUUAAAAGAAAAAAAAAAGAGGAAGUUCUGAUUUUAGAUCUAACAUACCAACUGCACCAAGGAAGUUAUGAUUUAACAUUAGACCAUAUAUGCAGAACUUAAUGGAUUCAGUUGACUACCUAGUUAGUUGUAAGGGUUUGCCAACUAGAUUAUCAAUAAUGUUUUCCAGUAAAGUUUCUCAAAAACAAUGUGCUAAGGACAUUAUUAAUUAUACUCAACAUUAAAUAAUUGCAUCCAAAAUAAAGAAGACUGUUCCUACUUUAACACCCAUAAGCAGUGUUUAAAGAUCAUGUUCUUUCAUGUGUUCUACACAGAGCAUAUCAAAGGAAGAGAGAUCAGGAUUAUGAGGCAAUUCGAAGCCAUGUCACAUGAUGACAGUGUUGACACAUAGACACUUUCAUGUAUUUCCCUUAAGAAAAAAGAAAGAAAUUAGGGAAAAGCAAAUGAGUGGCAUUUAACAUUUCUCCUUGAAAUGUGAUGAUGAGAAAAUGUAAAGAUGCACCUUCCUGGCAGCAGUGAGAAAUUUAUUUAUUGAUUUAUUUUAAUGAUUCUUAGCUUUGCUUCAUCAGCAAUAUGAUUCUUGAACAUUCCUGAAAAAUGAACAAACUGGAGUGAACCUUACAGUAAAGGCUUAUGUUUUAUAUGGAUUCUAAGACACCAUCUAUUAUGAGUUGUACCAUUACUUUAUGUAGCAAGCUGUUAUUAAAACUAUGUCAUGAUUUCACUUUUAAGGUUCAUCCUGAUUUAAGAAAUGUUAGAAUAUGAGAAAAAACUAACUUACAUUAGUCAUAUGUAGUAAAUAAAAACUACAGUUCCUUAACUUCUUGUUUUUAAUCAUAUUGAUAUUUUAGUGUGCUAUGUGUCUUUCAAAUAUCCCAAAUUGGCAUAGAAAUAUUUUAUGGAAAGCAUGGACUUUUGUGUGGAAUAUCAUUCUUUUUAUGGUUGCACUUGUGGCAUAUGGAAGUUCCCUUCUAGGGGUCCAAUCAGAGCUGUGGCUGGGGCCUGCAUCAUAGCCAUGGCAACAUUGGAGCUGAGCUGCAUCUGUGACCUACACAGCUUGCGGCAAAUGCCAGAUUCUUAACCCACUGAGUAAGGCCAGGGAUUGAACUUGCAUCUCAUGGAGACAAUGUUGCGUCCUUAACCUGCCAAGCUAAAAUAGGAACUCCUCAUUCUUUUUUAUACAAAAAAAUAAAAGAUUUUUAUUAUGGUUAGAAGUGAUAUGUUUUCCUAAAUAAUUUUACAAAACAUACUUAGCUCUUUGAAAUUAGUGACAAAAUUCUUACUGAAAUGAUAUUAGUUAUCAAGGCAAAAUAUGAUGCUUUACAUGUUGCACUGAGACCAUUUCUUAUGACUUUAGUAAGAAAUUUUUUUUUUUAAAAAGUGUACUAUUUAUUCUUAAUGCGCUAUUUGUGGUACCUUCAGCAAGUUUGCACUAAGUUCCUCUGGCUAUGUUGUAAAGUACUUCACACACUUCUGGUGCCUUCUGGUUUAUGGAUGGCUUUUGUCAGAAAGUCCUGUCUUUAUCACCUCAGAGACCUUCCUUGAGGUCAUAUUAGACUGUCAUGGAAAUAGCAUGCUUCUCAGAUGUUGGUGUAAUGCUGAUUAAUGUGACACUCUCUGGUAACUUAUGUAGUAAUAGCGCAUUAUCAUUUAAAAAAUAGCUGAAUUAAGGAUGUUUUAACUUUUAUUCAGGCUCUCUUAUGAAGAAAGCUAAAACCUUGGCUAUAACAAUAAGGUGGGAUGAAUAACUAAAAGAAAGCUGGAUUUGAGUCUUAGGUAAUUUCAGUGAAGAAUAAGGAAGUAGCACUUUAAGACAUAGCUGUGAAGUAGAUAUUUCUCACACCAAAAUGUGUGGUGACUUGUUAGCUUAAUGCUUUUCUGUUACUGAGUGCCAACUACAUAUAACCACAGCAGUUAUAAAUCAUGUUUAAAGAUCAGACUAAGGGAAAAUGAUAAAGAUCCAGCUAUAUUCUAAUCUCAUUAGCUACUACUUCUCAUGAAGGAAGGAGAAAAAUAUAUAUUUUUUUUCUAAAAAAACCCCUAGGACAUAAAAGUAGACUUCCAUGUGGAAGUAUUUACAUAUGAGAAUGUGGCAGUGACAUGAAGCUCUGUUUUAUUUCUCAAAGUCAUUAGGUAUAUGAAAUGGGUUUUUUUUUUUUGUGGGUUUUUUUUUUGUGUGUGUGUGUGAACUCCGUAUUUACUUUUCUAAUCCUUCACCUUUCUAUUAUGAUAUGCCAGGGGGAAGGUGGAGGAAGGGUGAGUCAGCUGCUUUCUUCCAAUAUUGAAUUAGAAGUGAUUUCAGUUUUGCUCAGGUAGAAAAGCCUUUCAUGGAAUAUUCUCCAGGUAGGUAUAGCAGAAAAACUCCUGUCAAUAUGUUUGCAUACCAUAGUGAGAUGUAGAGAAUGAAUUCCACUGCUGAUCAUGUCUCUCUAAGCAAAAGUCAAGCAGUUUCUCUUAUGUGAUCUGUCUGAGACAUUGUAUAGCAUUUUUCUUGACAUCUUGGAUUGUCCAGGAAGCAAGUAGCAGGCCUGAACAGUCAGCAUCAUCCUCAUCUUUUAUUUGGCAAUAUGAUGGAGAGUUGACUUGAACAUCUGCCCAUGAUUUUACACUAUCUGGGUUUUAGAGACAUCAGCAUUCUGUAUUGGUAUCGUCUCACCUUCCACUCUCUGUGGCAUCACCAUAUAAAUCUGCCAUUAUGGUAUGGCUUCUGCCAUAAAUCUCAUUGGAUCACUCCAUGAAAUCCUUAAAGCUAUGAGGAUGAGAUGGCCAUGCAGUGCGAGAUGUUGUAACUAACCAAGGGAAUGUGGUUCUCUUUCUCAAGACAAAACUGCAGCAUUUUUUAGGUGAGAUCUUUGUGAGGUCAGAGUAUUUCCUUUCCUUUUUUUCUAAAUGUUUAAACUGAACCCUGGAACAGGACCUGAUUUGAACAUAGGAAUAGAUUUCCUGUGACAGGAAAAGGUGCCAGUGUCUUAUCUUUCAGUUUUUUUCCUACUAAUUGACACUCUCAUUUCUUUGUGCCAUUUUAAAAUGAUGAUGUAUGGCUAAUAUAAUUCAUGCAUCACAAAAGCAUAAAGUGAAUAAGGGAGUUCCGGCCAUAGCUCAGUGGUAACGAACCCAACUGGUAUCCAUGAGGAUGUGGGUUCGAGCCUUGGCCUUGCUUAGUGGGUUAAGGAUCCAGUGUUGCUAUGAGCUGUGGUAUAUGUCACAGACAUGGAUCGGAUCCUGCAUUGCUGUGGCUGUGGUGUAGGCCAGCAGCUGUAGCUUCAAUUCGACCCCUAGCCUAGGAACUGCCAUAUGAUGCAGGUGUGGCCCUAAAAAAAAAAAAAAAAAAAAAAAAAGUGAAUAGAAAUUAGGGGGGAAAGGAAACAACAUUAGGAAGCUAAAAUGAAGCCAAAGGUGUGCUCAGCAGUAUAGGUUAGAAGCUAAAACUACAGUUUUAGCUUUAAAAUUUCUAGUUUCUAAAGAGCUUUAAAAUUUUAGCUUUAAAAUUUCUAGUUUCUAAAGAGAAAACAAAUUUUUUACAAGAUUUGAAGUGGCCAUGCUAUUAAUGCUAACUAAUUUCUCAUGAGGGAAAAAAAACCCUUUUAUUCCAACUAUAGGGUCAUUGUUCUCACAGGGAGCAUUGCAAUGAGCUUAAUUUCUUUAACAAAACCCCUCCAGUGAGUAAGAGUGAAAAAUUAUUGUGGGCUUUUUUCUUAUUAUCUAUAUUUGAUGUGAGCCUGUAAGUGAUAGAAACAUGGAACCCGGGUAAAAUGCAAUUGUUUGAGGCCCUGUGAAAAGCGAUCUCUAAGGACUAAUGUUUAUGAUGGUCUGCUUUUGUUCCCAGUAUAAAAAAUUAGAAAUUUAAAGCCGGAGUUGCAAACUUGUCUCUAUAGUAGGACAGAGUAAAUAUUUUUGAUCUUGUGUGUCAUAUGGCCUCUGUCACAACCAUUCAGCUCUCCUGUGGUAGCAUGAAAGCAGCCACAGAUGAUGUGUAAAUGAAUGGGUGUAACUGAAUAUCAAUAAAACUUGAUUUACAAAAUCAGGCAGUGAGCCAGAUUCGGUUCAUGAACCAUAGUUUGCCAACUCCUGAUCUGAAGAAAUAAGGACUUUAUUCACUUCAGAGUUUUCUCCGUAUCUGUAAUUCCUCAGAACAAAAUUUAAUAAGCUUAGAGAGCAAGAAUUAGAAAUUCAAAUAGAGUUUCCAAUGUGAGGACCUGAAACAAAGAGUUGAUUACCAUAUUAGGGUAAUAUAUGAUUCAAUCCCCCAACCAGAAGUCUGUUUUGACAUCUUCAUAUGAAAAGUAAAUCAUUUAACCAGAGCUUCCUUAGCUCUGAAUAAAUGAGUUAGACCUCAUCAGCAUCAACCUUUUUUUUUAACCCCAAAUUCCACAUUCUACAGAAAAACAAACCAAUCCCUGUGAAUAACGUGCACCCAUGAUGGAUUGGUGUGGAUCUUGGCUGUCCCACUUGUCAUUUCUGUGAACUUGAGCAAGUUACCCUACCUUUCUCUAAUUUGAUCUUCUUAUCAGAGACCUGGGCAAAAUAAUUCCUUCUUCACAGGCUGCUAAGAGGCAAACUACUUAGCCAUUAGCUAAAGGAUUCAUAUGCUUUAAUAGAUAAAAUAAUUCUGGCCCUGGAAAUAUAUGUCAGAAGCUCAGUUUGUUGGCCAGAGGACUGUAUGCAACAAAUAGAACUAUUUAUCUGGCUGUGCAAGACAUGGACUGUGUAAGCAUCUGAGAUGCAAAUAUGAAUAAAAAUAUUGUAACUGUACAUGAAAAUAAGGAUUUGAGGGAAAAGAAAAAUAAGUCCAAUAUCUGGCUGCAUUAGGCCUGCAGUGUUGAAUGGAAGUGAUCAGCUGUCCACAAAAACCAGGGCACAGGAGUUCCCGUCGUGGCUCAGUGGUUAACAAAUAUGACUAGGAACCAAGAGGUUGCAGGUUUGAUCCCUGGCCUUGCUCAGUGGGUUAAGGAUCUGGCGUUGCCAUGAGCUGUGGUGUAGGUCGCAGACAUGGCUCGGAUCCUGUGUUGUUGUGUCUCUGGCAUAGGCCAGCAGCUACAGCUCCAAUUAGAUCCCUAGCCUAGGAAGCUCCAUAUGCUGCGGGAGCAGCCUUAGAAAAGGCAAAAAGACAAAAAAAAAAAAAAAAACAACCAAAAAACAAACAAACAAACAAACAAAAUGCAGGGCGCAUAGCCUCUGGUUUGCAUGGCUUUGGCCUGCUGCUUUUCUUUUGCAGUGCCCAGGAGAAAUAGCAAUCCUUUUUUAUACCUUGUCCACAACUUUUUCUUUUCUAUACUUGUCCAUUUUUUUUUUAGUAAGUCUUGCAUGGUUCUUAUCAGGACCUACAGAGUAGUGUCUUAGUAUGUAAAUCAAGAAGUUAAUAGGUUCUCUGUGAUAAAAGAAUUCUGGUUAAAUAAGUUGAGGGAUGCUGAAAGAACCAAAACAAACAAACAAAUAAAAGAACCACGUGUCUUUUCUUUGGGCCUUUCACUAUCUUUUAAUAUAUUAAUACUUCUGGGUUCCAAGGUAGGCGUGCACUCAACAGUUUUCUUGUGUUGAUUUAACAAAGAAAAAAAACAACCAUUCUUUAAUUUUAAUGCUUCAUGCAUUGUGGCCACUUAGCCAUUGACCACAUUUCUCCCAUAGAACAUGCUGUGGGAAACACUGCAUUUACUGUUCCAAAACUCCCCAUAGAAUGUAGAAUUUUAGACAAACAUUCUAGGUGUAUUUGUUGCAAAUAGUAUCCACUGAUAUGUUGUACAUAGUAUCUUCUGUUACUGUUGUACAUAGUAUCUAUUGAUACUAUUUCACAUAAUAUUAUCCACUGAUUACCAGAUGAUUGAACCUACUUUAUCAGAGUAUCAAUGGUAUAGUAGUAAUAUAACAAAGAUUAAUUGAAUACUUACAGGCAGUGGCUAAGUACUUUGCUGGCCUAUCUCAUUUUAUCCUCACAAAAAUACUGUAAAGUAGUUUUCUUAUCCCUGUCCUACAAAGGAUGAUGAAGAGGCUCAGAGAAGCUAAAUAACUUGCUGAACAUCACACAGCUGCUAUGUAAGGCAAACAAUAUCUUCAGCCUUCACUCUGAGCUGCUGGACUCCAUCGUCUUGGCUAAAUGCAGUGACAAUUGGCAAACAUUUGCCUUAACUUAUAUCUUAUAUUAGUGUAAUCUUAGACCAUCUUUCUUUCACACAGUAAUUAUGUACGACAAAGUGCCUAUUGAGAAUAACACUGGUUUUUAAGCAUAAAACAUUAAUAAAAAUAGAAAAAUAUAUGUUGCCUUUCAUUUCUUUUUUUCCAGGACAUACAUGUGGCUAAUUCAGUAGACCCAUAAAGUUAUGGUAAAAUUUAAAAGGAGGAGGUGGUGAAACGCAGCUCCUUAACAGCUUGAAAAUGUUAUAUGACCUGAUGAGGUUGUUUCUGAAGACACCGAUACCCAUAGCUCUCUUAAGGCACAGAUUUCUUAUAUCUAUUCCUAAAGGUCCUAAUUAGCUCCAAACUGCCCCCUAUUUGCAGCAAUAAAGGUCGAGAAAGAUCAACAGAAGCUACACAUAAUUUAAUAUUCCUCUGUAAGGUGACAGAAAUCUAGCAGUGCUUAAUAAAGAAAUAGAUAGGCCUGUAUUCCCUUUGUCAUAAUGUCAUUACUGUCCACCUUUCCCUGAAAGUCUUGUGUAUGAUUUUGCCUCAAGAAGUACAAACUUCCAUUUUAUUAAAGGAAAACAUUUGACUGGUUACUGGGAAGAUGUUCGGUGGGGUCUAAAAAUAGUCCAUAAGUUAGAAGAAAACCUUUGGUAUUCCAUAGAUUGGUUGGCAAUCAACACACAAAAUAAUUAUAAUAAAAUAUUAAUAGUUCUAAGUGUAUAUAUUUAUACACAAAAAUUUAUGCAUAUACAUUGCCACAUAUCAUGGAUAUCAAGAUGCUAUUGUAAUAUACAACAUUGAUUGUAAUCAAAGCUUUUAACAGGAAAGAUAAACAUUGUAUCAAAUAUACAGUGAAUUUUUUAUAAGACACAUUCAGAUUUCAGGUGCAGUAAGAACUCAGAUGUAUCUUAAGAUGGAGUCUGGCUGAGAUGGAAUUGAUGGAUUGUUGACUGAUCAGAUGUUGGGACUGGUUCCUGUUUGGAUGGGUAAAGGAAAGGGAUUGGUGGCUCUGAGAAGCAAAUUGAAAUUGUAGCAUGCUAUGAAGUUUAUUUAAGAAGUUCUGAAUAAGUGUCAAUUUGAAAGCCUUUUGAAUUAGUUGGGGUUACCUUUAAAUGGGUCACCCUCUAAUCAUACUUUAUUUGUCCCUCUGGUGUAUUUACAGGUACUGAAGAUGGAUGGGCAUCAUUAGGUAUCUCUUAUUAUAUUGUCCCACAAAUAUCUUAACCGUUUGUGUGCUGGAGAGGCAAAUAUUUGACUUCCUUGGAUAUCAGUGGGCUCCCAUCCUGGCAAAUUUUGUACAUAUUAUUAUCGUCAUUCUUGGUUUAUUUGGAACUAUUCAGUAUAGACCUCGUUACAUAACAGGAUAUGCUGUCUGGCUAGUCCUCUGGGUUACGUGGAACGUGUUUGUUAUCUGCUUCUAUUUGGAGGCUGGGGACCUCUCAAAGGAAACAGAUCUUAUCCUGACUUUUAAUAUUUCAAUGCACCGAUCUUGGUGGAUGGAGAAUGGACCAGGAUGUACGGUGACAUCAGUGACACCUGCCCCAGACUGGGCCCCAGAAGACCAUCGCUACAUCACGGUCUCAGGGUGUUUUCUGGAGUACCAGUACAUAGAAGUGGCUCACAGUUCCCUCCAGAUUGUCCUCGCACUGGCAGGGUUCAUCUACGCCUGUUAUGUUGUGAAAUGUAUAACUGAAGAAGAGGACAGCUUUGAUUUCAUAGGUGGCUUUGACUCUUAUGGCUAUCAGGGGCCUCAGAAGACAUCUCAUUUACAACUACAGCCUAUGUACAUGCAAAUUCCCUUGGAUAACAACUGAUAACAAAUUCUAUAUAUCAGCAUCAAGUGAUAUGCUGAAUUGCAAGCGAAGAUCAAAAUAGAAAGUCGAAGUAAUACAAAUGGCUUCAGUACAUCAGCUCCUGGACCCCUCAAAGAACUUGUUUCCCAGUGGCCUCCUGCAUUUUUUGAAGAGCAAGAAGCAACUGAGUUUAUAUAUAUAUAUACACACAUAUUAACAAAGAAACAGUCUUCACAUACACUGGGACACACACACAAUUAUACUUGGCCUCCUCUUUCUAACUGAAACAGAUAAACAUGCAGGACAUGCCCUGUGGUGGAUUUCCUGAAAGCAGGCUGCUUUCUCCCAGGCCUUUGGAAAGUUCCUGAGGAAACGUGUUGGUGCUCUCUGCUGGCCGACACUAACUCCUCUGCAGCUCAACCAGUCAGCCUCCCAUAGCUGCAAAGUCAUCCAGGGCACAUUAGCUUGAAAGCCCCGUUUUCUAGCGCACCAUGUGUCUUGAUAGCGCCACAGCUAUGAAGGCAAUGUAAUUGCAAAGACAAAACAUGCCAUGACGACCUAGUAACUGAAGUCUGAAAUGGCAGGUUGUUUGCCCUAAAGCUAGACCGUACAUACUUGCCUUAACCCACCUAAGUUGUGCGCUUGAGAACCUCAGCGCAUACAUCCCCGAGUCACUUCCUUUAGGCUAACACACUGCUAUUAAUUCCGAAUGGGUUUGAGUCUAUGUGUCUCAUGUCAAGAAACAAGACUGUCUAGCUCAGCAGCUCCACUGUCUAAGAAAACUGCCAGCUGUCAGCAAAGUGCUUCUACCAUUGAGCCUCCAUGGUGGCCAAAAAGAGACCAGUAAUAACAAGUUGUAAUCAUCAUCUUUAUAAUUCUUCAAAGUCUUCAGAGGAGGUUGGGUGGGACAAAAAAUGUAUUAAUCUACUAAACUCAUUAAUCUACCGGAAGCAGAGAUCAGAAAUGGCUUAAUUCUAACCAGUUUUAUUUAUUGCACUCUAGGUGCUUUUUUAAGUAUCUACAAAUGUCUUUUACUAACAGAAACAGCUGUGGAUUUCUAUCAACAGAGGCCAACUGAAUAUGUAUUAGCUAUGUUUACUCUUUUAUAUCUAAUUCAAAUGGAAGACCCUAUGUAGAUGAACUUUUUUUCCUAACUUCAGCGUACGAGAUUAUUUUCUGGGUGGGCGGGGGGAGCAGUAGUUAACCUUGGUGAAACAUUUGAGAUCUUUGUGGUAUUUGGGGGAUCUGUUGUGUGUUAGAGUGUAUUUUAAUCCUCCUGUAUUAUUGUGGCAGAAAAAAAAACUGUGCUGUUAACGUAGUUGGCAACAAGAUGCCUUUGGAAACUUAAUAGUAGGUCAAUGUGUUUAUGAAAUAUUCUGAAUUCUAGAAAAUUGUUUUAUAUAUUCAAGCAUUCUUUGGUUUUCAUGAGUGAAACACAUAAUUAGCUCAGGCUUGUCAGGAACUCAGAUGAGUUUUGGGGAUCCACCUGAGAUAAUAAGUUCAGUAUUUUUCCAAAAGUAAUAAUACACCAUCCUUAAAUGCAGUGAAAUUGACUUGAAAAGUUAGAGAUUGGCAUGAAGCAACUUUUUCCUCUUGGUUUCUAUGAGGUUUGUUACUGGGCUAACCUACUUUGGAUAUUAGCUCAUCCAAAUCUACAUUAAUCAGUCCCAUUCCUGUGUCUGCAUGGAUGUCUGAUCUACACACACAUGAAUUUGAAAAUGACAAAGGGACAAAGGUUACUAUUAGAACAUAAACUACAAAAAAGGUUCCAGCACGUGUGCUUGAAUUCUCAGUGGUCUAUGUUUGUCCAUAUAUACAUGUAUAGAACAUGUCAGUGAAACCUCACUUUAGUGACAUGCAUGUUAAGUGUAUGAGAAACUUUACCAAUGUUAUCGUCCUUUGAUUCUUAAUAUAAAUACUAUACAUGCCGGAAAACUAAUGUGACUAUUAAUGUGACUACAAAAAUGAGGUUUCACUGUACAUUCCUGCUGGGAUGCAAUUCCACCUUAUGAGACAUGUAUAUGGAUUAAUAAACCUUCAUAUCCCUGCUUUAAGUUGCAGCCAAGUUACCAUCUAUUUACUAUCAUCAUGACCCAAAUUUUCAAAAACAGUUGUUGACUACUAAAAAGGAUUCAGUGGACAGGGAGCACAGUCAUGUGAUUCUAUCUGGGAAUAAACAUCGAAGUUGUACAGCUGUAUCCUCCUCAAAAUCCGGUGAAGAAUGCUAUUUUUCUAGGCUGAGCUUUUGUUAUAAACCUAAUAUUCAGAAGGCAAGAGUUACAAUCCUGAUGUGUCUUUUUUUUCCGUUUGUUAAUUCUGAAUGUAUUUUUAACAGAGUGAUUUUUUUGACUUACUAGUGUAAUUUGCAUUUUAAAAAUAAAUGGAAAAACAAU
Molecule: non-coding RNA, 13399 nt
Organism: Sus scrofa (pig)
Lineage: Eukaryota; Metazoa; Chordata; Mammalia; Artiodactyla; Suidae
Source: RefSeq, a predicted model, not a curated record